GGGCCCGUAGCUCAACGGCAGAGCUAACGGCUCAUAACUGUGAGGUUGUAGGUUCGAAUCCUACCGGGGUCA
RNAcentral lists this transfer RNA (72 nucleotides) under Anaerolineae bacterium. RNAcentral describes it as "tRNA-Ile". It matches the Rfam family "tRNA". Rfam says of the family: Transfer RNA (tRNA) molecules are approximately 80 nucleotides in length. Their secondary structure includes four short double-helical elements and three loops (D, anti-codon, and T loops). Lineage: Bacteria; Bacillati; Chloroflexota; Anaerolineae. The record is from RNAcentral.